UAAUAUGUCUCAGAAUGUUGU
This 21-nucleotide microRNA is filed under the name Sarcophilus harrisii (Tasmanian devil). RNAcentral's name for it is "Sha-Mir-12475-P24_3p (mature (co-guide))". Lineage: Eukaryota; Metazoa; Chordata; Mammalia; Dasyuromorphia; Dasyuridae. The record is from RNAcentral.